RNAcentral lists this long non-coding RNA (505 nucleotides) under Helianthus annuus (common sunflower). RNAcentral's name for it is "sRNA HanXRQr2_Chr13g0570171". The record is from RNAcentral. Lineage: Eukaryota; Viridiplantae; Streptophyta; Magnoliopsida; Asterales; Asteraceae.
GUAGUAGAGAUUAUAGUUGGGUAUUAUACCCCUAAUUAGCGAAGCUCUGCCUCGUUGUAAGUAUCAUAACCCCUGGAUACAUAUUAGAUACGCUGUCCGAUUGAUCUAGGGUGAACAGCUGUCGUGGUUCUGCCCGACGUAGUCGUUGGAAUGUCGUCUCGGGGAGGGUAUUACUAAUGUUAAAAUGGGUUAUUAUACUAACGCGUGUGCAUUGUUUAUUACUUAGAUUAUAACCAGGGAAUCACAAAGGAAAGCCCUAUAAUAGCAAUUUCUUCAAUUACUGCCGGUAUGUUGGGGUUUUGUAUACAAAAUUUGUACUACUUGCGAGUAGUAAGUCGGGAUGACAAUACGUUACCAUUGGACAAUGAGUUAGCCAAUGGGUAAUAUGACCCACAAGUCAGGAUUGAUAGUACCAAAUGGAGUAAUUGUGUAACUUAGUAUGAAGCUAAUAAAAGCCAGCUGGAGAGCACUGAAGGCUUGGAAAAGUGACAAUAAAGUUACCUAA